AACGGUCUAUACCUGCGGUACCUGCGGAGGGAUCAUUAAUGAGAAACUGCCCCUCGCGGGUAGAUCUCCCACCCUUUGUGAACUUACCUUUGUUGCUUUGGCAGGCCCGUCUCCGGACCGCCGGCUUCGGCUGGCCAGUGCCUGCCAGAGGAUUCUAAAACUCUGUCUGUCAGUGUUGUCUGAGUCUAUAUACAAUCGUUAAAACUUUCAGCAACGGAUCUCUAGAUCGGAAGAGCACAC
RNAcentral lists this unclassified non-coding RNA (240 nucleotides) under soil metagenome. RNAcentral's name for it is "partial contains 5.8S ribosomal RNA, internal transcribed spacer 2, and large subunit ribosomal RNA". The record is from RNAcentral.